CAAUAGCGUAUAUUAAAGUUGUUGCAGUUAAAAAGCUCGUAGUUGGAUUUGUGGCGUACGGUGUGUUCCGGGCACUUGUUGUCUGAGUAACCUGCUAUUGCCAUCCUUGGGUGGAACCUGUGUGGCAUUAGGUUGUCGUGCAGGGGAUGCCCAUCAUUUACUGUGAAAAAAUUAGAGUGUUCAAAGCAGGCUUAUGCCGUUGAAUAUAUUAGCAUGGAAUAAUGAGAUAGGACUUUUUUGCUAUUUUGUUGGUUUGCGCAAAGAGGUAAUGAUUAAUAGGGACAGUUGGGGGUAUUCGUAUUCCAUUGUCAGAGGUGAAAUUCUUGGAUUUUUGGAAGACGAACUACUGCGAAAGCAUUUACCAAGGAUGUUUUCAUUAA
This 380-nucleotide ribosomal RNA is filed under the name uncultured eukaryote. RNAcentral's name for it is "partial 18S ribosomal RNA". It matches the Rfam family "Eukaryotic small subunit ribosomal RNA", at positions 592 to 976 of the family's 1831-position model. The record is from RNAcentral.